RNAcentral lists this non-coding RNA (21 nucleotides) under Pteropus alecto (black flying fox). Its record names the gene pal-miR-150-5p. The record is from miRBase by way of RNAcentral. RNAcentral also lists the same sequence under 1 other name. Lineage: Eukaryota; Metazoa; Chordata; Mammalia; Chiroptera; Pteropodidae.
UCUCCCAACCCUUGUACCAGU